UGUGGGACUGGGUGCGUCCUCCCUACCAGGUCACAGUCAAGUGACGGUCUGGGAGAAGUAGUGUGGGACUGGGUGCGUCCUCCCUACCAGGUCACAGUCAAGUGACGGUCCGGGAGAAGUAGUGUGGGACUGGGUGCGUCCUCCCUGCCAGGUCACAGUCAAGUGACGGUCCGGGAGAAGUAGUGUGGGACUGGGUGCGUCCUCCCUGCCAGGUCACAGUCAAGUGACGGUCCGGGAGAAGUAGUGUGGGACUGGGUGCGCCCUCCCUACCAGGUCACAGUCAAGUGACGGUCCGGGAGAAGUAGUGUGGGACUGAUGCGUCCUCCCUGCCAG
Molecule: long non-coding RNA, 333 nt
Organism: Oncorhynchus tshawytscha (Chinook salmon)
Lineage: Eukaryota; Metazoa; Chordata; Actinopteri; Salmoniformes; Salmonidae
Source: Ensembl